Molecule: ribosomal RNA, 202 nt
Filed under: uncultured bacterium
Lineage: Bacteria
Description: partial 16S ribosomal RNA
Rfam family: Bacterial small subunit ribosomal RNA
Source: RNAcentral
ACGCUCGACACCUACGGAAGGCAGCAGUGGGGAAUAUUGGGCAAUGGGCGAAAGCCUGACCCAGCAACGCCGCGUGAGGGAAGAAGGUUUUCGGAUUGUAAACCUCUGUCCUCAGGGACGAAGGACGUGACGGUACCUGAGGAGGAAGCCCCGGCUAACUACGUGCCGGCAGCCGCCGGUAAUCUGAGCGGGCUGGCAAGGC